GUCCCUGUAGCUUAACUGGAUAGAGCAAUUGCUUGCGGAGCAAUAGAUUGCCCGUUCAAAUCGGGCCAGGGACACUA
Molecule: transfer RNA, 77 nt
Filed under: Candidatus Shapirobacteria bacterium CG03_land_8_20_14_0_80_39_12
Lineage: Bacteria; Candidatus Shapironibacteriota
Description: tRNA-Arg
Rfam family: tRNA
About the family: Transfer RNA (tRNA) molecules are approximately 80 nucleotides in length. Their secondary structure includes four short double-helical elements and three loops (D, anti-codon, and T loops). Further hydrogen bonds mediate the characteristic L-shaped molecular structure. tRNAs have two regions of fundamental functional importance: the anti-codon, which is responsible for specific mRNA codon recognition, and the 3' end, to which the tRNAs corresponding amino acid is attached (by aminoacyl-tRNA synthetases). tRNAs cope with the degeneracy of the genetic code in two manners: having more than one tRNA (with a specific anti-codon) for a particular amino acid; and 'wobble' base-pairing, i.e. permitting non-standard base-pairing at the 3rd anti-codon position.
Source: RNAcentral